RNAcentral lists this transfer RNA (76 nucleotides) under Kouleothrix aurantiaca. Its description in RNAcentral is "tRNA-Ala". It matches the Rfam family "tRNA". From Rfam's summary of the family: Transfer RNA (tRNA) molecules are approximately 80 nucleotides in length. Their secondary structure includes four short double-helical elements and three loops (D, anti-codon, and T loops). Further hydrogen bonds mediate the characteristic L-shaped molecular structure. tRNAs have two regions of fundamental functional importance: the anti-codon, which is responsible for specific mRNA codon recognition, and the 3' end, to which the tRNAs corresponding amino acid is attached (by aminoacyl-tRNA synthetases). tRNAs cope with the degeneracy of the genetic code in two manners: having more than one tRNA (with a specific anti-codon) for a particular amino acid; and 'wobble' base-pairing, i.e. permitting non-standard base-pairing at the 3rd anti-codon position. The record is from RNAcentral. RNAcentral also lists the same sequence under 5 other names. Lineage: Bacteria; Bacillati; Chloroflexota; Chloroflexia; Chloroflexales; Roseiflexaceae.
GGGGCUGUAGCUCAGCUGGGAGAGCGCAACACUGGCAGUGUUGAGGUCAGGAGUUCGAUCCUCCUCAGCUCCACCA